Molecule: ribosomal RNA, 407 nt
Filed under: uncultured bacterium
Lineage: Bacteria
Description: partial 16S ribosomal RNA
Rfam family: Bacterial small subunit ribosomal RNA
Source: RNAcentral
AUUGAACGCUGGCGGCAGGCCUAACACAUGCAAGUCGAGCGGAGCGGCGGACGGGUGAGUAAUGACUAGGAAUCUGCCUGGUAGUGGGGGAUAACGUCCGGAAACGGGCGCUAAUACCGCAUACUAUCAGAUGAGCCGAUGCAGGAUUAGCUAUUUGGUGGGGGAAAGGCCUACCAAGGCGACGAUCCGGAACUGGUCUGAUAGGAGGAUCAGUCACACGGGAACUGAGACACGGUCCGUACUCCUACGGGAGGCAUAAUUGGGGAAUAUUGGCCAAUGGGCGAAAGCCUGAUCCAGCCAUGCCGCGUGUGUGAAGAAGGUCUUCGGAGUGUAAAGCACUUUAAGUUGGGAGGCGUUACCAACAGAAUAAGCACCGGCUAACUUCGUGCCAGCAGCCGCGGUAAUAC